CCUACGGGAGGCAGCAGUGAGGAAUAUUGGUCAAUGGGCGUAAGCCUGAACCAGCCAAGCCGCGUGAGGGAUGAAGGUUCUAUGGAUCGUAAACCUCUUUUAUAAGGGAAUAAAGUGUGGGACGUGUCCUAUUUUGUAUGUACCUUAUGAUUCAGGAUCGGCUAACUCCGGGCCAGCAGCCGCGGUAAUACGGAGGAUCCGAGCGUUAUCCGGAUUUAUUGGGUUUAACGGGUGCGUAGGCGGCCUUUUAAGUCAGCGGUGAAAGUCUGUGGCUCAACCAUGGAAUUGCCGUUGAAACUGGGGGGCUAGAGUAUGUUGGAGGCAGGCGGAAUUCGUGGUGUAGCGGUGAAAUGCGUAGAUAUCACGAAGAACCCCAAUUGCGAAGGCAGCCUGCCAAGCCAUGACUGACGCUGAUGCACGAAAGCGUGGGGAUCAAACAGGAUUAGAUACCCCUGUAGUC
Molecule: ribosomal RNA, 460 nt
Filed under: uncultured bacterium
Lineage: Bacteria
Description: partial 16S ribosomal RNA
Rfam family: Bacterial small subunit ribosomal RNA
Source: RNAcentral